RNAcentral lists this non-coding RNA (21 nucleotides) under Arabidopsis thaliana (thale cress). Lineage: Eukaryota; Viridiplantae; Streptophyta; Magnoliopsida; Brassicales; Brassicaceae. The record is from RNAcentral.
CUAAUACGUGCAACAAACCCC